RNAcentral lists this long non-coding RNA (843 nucleotides) under Nicotiana benthamiana. Its description in RNAcentral is "long non-coding RNA (NBEN_LNC026295)". Lineage: Eukaryota; Viridiplantae; Streptophyta; Magnoliopsida; Solanales; Solanaceae. The record is from RNAcentral.
UUUACGUUAUUUCUACUGGAGUUACUAAUGCUCUUUUGUUUUUGUUUUUGUUUUUGUUUAUGUUUUUUUUUCCUUACUAAGCCGAGGAUCGAUUGGAACCAGCCUCUCUGCCCUUUCAUAUAGAGGUAAGGCCCGUCUACAUAUUAUCCUUCUCAUACCCCACUUUGUGAGACUAUACUAAGUAAUAAUUGUUGUUGUUGUAUUCUUCAUUAUAGUGUUAAUGUCUCUGACUAGAUAAUUUAAUAACAAAGGGAAAAAAACCAUUAUUUAUUUCAUUUCACAUAGAGACUAGAAGCAGCUUCUGGUCAUUUUGAACUCAAGCGCUUCUCUCGUAUUUUUUAGCUUGCUAGUUGCAAAUAAAGAGAGGAUUGAAUUCAAAGUUGACAACCACUUUGUAAGCUACCUCAAGGACGGUCAUUUUGCAAGAGAUUUAAAGGUUUGAUUAUAAAUAAAGAUAAUAAAAGAUUGCAUUGAAACUGGAUACGGUUAAAAUUAAGCCUACUCGAUUUUAUUAUUAGAUUGGAUCAGGGAGUUGCAUAGAAAAUCGACCUCGUAGUGGAUCAAAGUACGAGGACAAGGUAUCGAGUUCGAGAAUUGAGGUGCUUGUCAAAAUCUGGGUCAGUAGCGAUCGAGACUAAAUAGGGUAAACUUCGAGCAAAACGCAAUAACAGAAAGGUGAGAUAUUCGUAACUGGUCAAAGAUUAUGGCGAAAAUCUCGGAACAUUUUAUCAAAUCAAAGGCGGUUGUUUGGGCUAAUCAUGGGAUUUACUUAUGUAAUUAGAAUUGUACCACAAAUAAGAUUCCUAUACUAUAUAAAGAGGGUUCUAAUCAUUUUGUAGACAC